UCAACCCUUCACUACGGAUCGUUCGGCACGUACCUGCCGAUGAAAGGAUGAA
Molecule: non-coding RNA, 52 nt
Filed under: Bifidobacterium asteroides
Lineage: Bacteria; Bacillati; Actinomycetota; Actinomycetes; Bifidobacteriales; Bifidobacteriaceae
Also listed under: 2 other names
Description: msiK RNA
Rfam family: msiK RNA
Source: RNAcentral